UACGGAGGGAGCUAGCGUUGUUCGGAAUUACGGGGCGUAAAGCGCGCGUAGGCGGCUUUGUAAGUUAGAGGUGAAAGCCCGGGGCUCAACCCCGGAACUGCCUUUAAGACUGCAUCGCUUGAAUCCGGGAGAGGUGAGUGGAAUUCCGAGUGUAGAGGUGAAAUUCGUAGAUAUUCGGAAGAACACCAGUGGCGAAGGCGGCUCACUGGACCGGCAUUGACGCUGAGGUGCGAAAGCGUGGGGAGCAAACAGG
Molecule: ribosomal RNA, 253 nt
Filed under: uncultured bacterium
Lineage: Bacteria
Description: partial 16S ribosomal RNA
Rfam family: Bacterial small subunit ribosomal RNA
Source: RNAcentral